CCUACGGGUGGCAGCAGUGGGGGAUAUUGCACAAUGGGGGGAACCCUGAUCCAGCGACGCCGCGUGAGUGAAGAAGUAUUUCGGUAUGUAAAGCUCUGUCAGCAGGGAAGAAAGAAAUGACGGUACCUGACCAGGAAGUCCCGGCUAACUACGUGCCAGCAGCCGCGGUAAUCCGUAGGGGGCAAGCGUUAACCGGAAUUACUGGGUGUAAAGGGAGCGUAGACGGUAAAGUAAGUCUGGAGUGAAAGCCCGGGGCCCAACCCCGGGACUGCCCUGGAAACUACUGAACUGGAGUGCAGGAGAGGUAAGCGGAAUUCCUAGUGUAGGGGUGAAAUGCGUAGAUAUUAGGAGGAACACCAGUGGCGAAGGCGGCUUACUGGACUGUAACUGACGCUGAGGCUCGAAAGCGUGGGGAGCAAACAGGAUUAGAUACCCGAGUAGUC
Molecule: ribosomal RNA, 443 nt
Filed under: uncultured bacterium
Lineage: Bacteria
Description: partial 16S ribosomal RNA
Rfam family: Bacterial small subunit ribosomal RNA
Source: RNAcentral